Cyprinus carpio (common carp) is the source of this 1279-nucleotide long non-coding RNA. NCBI's taxonomy places the organism in Eukaryota, Metazoa, Chordata, Actinopteri, Cypriniformes, Cyprinidae. The record is from Ensembl.
AUGGAGUUGUUCAUCUUCAUAGUGUUUCAGCUCCUGAUGGAGGUUCAGUCUUACAAAUCUCCUACUGUGAAAGUAUCUCCAGAUCCCAUAAGAGAGUCCAGCUCAGUGAAGAUCAGCUGUGAGACUCCAGCAGAUGUUAGAGUGAGUCAGUGUUAUUUCUACACAAACAGAGAACAGAAGAAUAUAAAAGUCAGUUCAUCAUGUGAGCUCGAGCUCACUGGUGCUGAAGUGCUCAGAUGGGCAGGUGUAAAAUCACCUGAAUCAAUCUACAUUAACUGUUACUACACAAUAAAUGAACGAGGCAUCGAUAAACCCUCAUCUCAUUCUCCUCCUGCCACAGUGACGGUUCUAGAUUCAUUUCCGAAACCCAUCAUCAGUGUUAGUGGAGAUGAUGACCAGCUCUUCAUAUCAUGUGAAAUACCACUUUCAGUCAGAGAUGAUUUCAACUGUAGUUUCUACACUGAGGAUGAUGUUCUUCUGUGUCAACGUGUCUCUCAGUGGAGUCAGUCUGGAAAGAAUCUUUGUAUGUUUCUCAGUAGAGUCAGUCUGGAAAGAAUCUCUGUAUGUUUUAUGUAAGUCGUAGUGAACUCUUCACACGAUCAGUGAACAGCAGACAACUGAUCUGUGUUUAUUCACUCAAAACUGAACCUGAGAUCAGAUCACCACACAGUGACACAUACACCUUCAGAGACACAUACACCUUCAGAGACACAGUCACCAUCAGAGGUGAGUUAUUAUUAUUAUCAUCUUUAAAACAUGAGCACAUUUGAUGAUUAGAGACACCUGUAUAAUUAUUUAGACAGUAUGAUUUAUUAUGUAGGCAAGUAGUAUCAAAGUACUUUUAAGGCAAGUCAUGUCACUCUGCGGCCAUCUUUGAACGCCUCUCGAGCAUGCAAGUGAAGCUCCUAUCUCUGUGAAUGGGGAAACAUCAAAUUCUCCAAAACUCACCAAGCUUAUGAUUAAAUUUAAUAUUUGAAAUCACCAAUGCAAUCUGACAACACCUGUCUCAUAAAUUUAUAUUAUUCAUAUAGCAUUAAAAAGCUUAUUUUUCAGGCUACACCAGCCAUAUGCGCAGUCCUUAGCACAUGUCUCCAGAAUGCUGACAGUUUCUAUAGCAACAAGACUUUUAACAGCAGCUGCAGUGACACAAUAACUGUUCUGAUUAGCGAUUGGCUCUUUUAAAAUUUAAAAUUCUUUUUAAAUGUCUUUAUCAUCACUUUUGAUCAAUUUAAAGCAUUCUUGCUAAAUAAAAGCAUUAAUUUCUAUAAUUUUUUUUCCA